RNAcentral lists this transfer RNA (76 nucleotides) under Rhodocyclaceae bacterium. Its description in RNAcentral is "tRNA-Ala". It matches the Rfam family "tRNA". From Rfam's summary of the family: Transfer RNA (tRNA) molecules are approximately 80 nucleotides in length. Their secondary structure includes four short double-helical elements and three loops (D, anti-codon, and T loops). Further hydrogen bonds mediate the characteristic L-shaped molecular structure. tRNAs have two regions of fundamental functional importance: the anti-codon, which is responsible for specific mRNA codon recognition, and the 3' end, to which the tRNAs corresponding amino acid is attached (by aminoacyl-tRNA synthetases). tRNAs cope with the degeneracy of the genetic code in two manners: having more than one tRNA (with a specific anti-codon) for a particular amino acid; and 'wobble' base-pairing, i.e. permitting non-standard base-pairing at the 3rd anti-codon position. The record is from RNAcentral. Lineage: Bacteria; Pseudomonadati; Pseudomonadota; Betaproteobacteria; Rhodocyclales; Rhodocyclaceae.
GGGGAAUUAGCUCAGUUGGUAGAGCGCCAGCUUUGCAAGCUGGAUGUCACCGGUUCGAAUCCGGUAUUCUCCACCA